UACGUAGGGUGCGAGCGUUAAUCGGAAUUACUGGGCGUAAAGCGUGCGCAGGCGGUCUGUUAAGACCGAUGUGAAAUCCCCGGGCUUAACCUGGGAACUGCAUUGGUGACUGGCAGGCUUUGAGUGUGGCAGAGGGAGGUAGAAUUCCACGUGUAGCAGUGAAAUGCGUAGAGAUGUGGAGGAAUACCGAUGGCGUAGGGCAGCCUCCUGGGCCAACACUGACGCUCAUGCACGAAAGCGUGGGGAGCAAACAGG
RNAcentral lists this ribosomal RNA (255 nucleotides) under uncultured bacterium. Its description in RNAcentral is "partial 16S ribosomal RNA". It matches the Rfam family "Bacterial small subunit ribosomal RNA", at positions 524 to 776 of the family's 1533-position model. The record is from RNAcentral.